CUGCGUACGUAGAACCUCAAAAAGUGAGUUUUGGCUGCGUCGCGUGCGAGAUUUUUGCUCGUUCGCAUACGCAGGUGUAAAAAAAAAAAAGAGAAAAGUAUAAUUUGAAUUAAAAGUGUGGGGAAGGUUCGAGCCCGAACCCCUAACCGUCCCACUCAAUGUCUCUCUUCUUCUUCCUCCUCUCUUCGUCUUCUUCAAAUCCCUCCAUUCAUUGCGCCACCGUCGACCACCAUUACCGCCGGCUCUUCUCCCUUUCUAUCUUUCUCUUUUCUUCUCCCUUUCUCUAUUUCUCUUCCCUUCUCCCUCUUCUCUCAACCUUCACUGUUGCAAUCCCUUCUCUCGGUGACACUUCCGUCAGCGACUCCACCGCCACCAUUCCCAGACCACCAUUGUUGGCCGCAGCUCUCCGUUCCCAAUCCGCAGCGCCCAACCCUCUUCCUUCAUUUCAUUUUCCAUUCGAUUACCCUUGCUCUAUUUCAGGAUGAGAACCGGCAAAGGAGUUCGAGCGAGGGAUCCGGCAAAAUAUGCAAAUAAGUAUUGUGAAACACAAUUCCGCUUAUUCAACCAGCAAAAGAAACUGCACUUUGAAACGAUCCUCAAGCUAGACAAGCUUCCACCCGACCUCCGUCGAAUGGUUAAUGAAAACAUAAGAGUCGGGGGUGGGAUUUCUUGGAGAGGAACUUGGUGGAUAUUAAUGAAAACUAGGUCGUGGAGUUCUAUGCUAAUUUCUACUCCGCAACCCUGAAACUGUGCUCUUGGGGAGAAAGCGAAUUCCGGUCACUAAGAGUACAAUAGCUGAGAUACUCCGGAUUCUCCCGAAGCUGAAACAGGUGUGGCUAUGACAAGGCAAUUCAGAACAAAGCGAUAAACCUCUUGGAUUGGGGCAAGAUCUUGAAGAUAGCAAUUCCGGACAGUGAAUGGAUCUUGAGCAAUGAUCAAAAGGAGCCCAUUAGUAUCCUGCUCAAGCAACUGACCCGUGAGGCUCGAAUUUGACAACAAAUCCUAAUCAACCUUGUCAUGCCAAGCUCUCACAAGACCACCAUAUCUGCUGAUUUGGCGAUCUUGGUGUGGACUAUUUUGGAGGGAGAACCUAUCUUCCUCCCGAAGAUUAUUAGACAGUCCAUGUGGUAGGGGUGUACAUGGUUCAAUUUUUUCUAUAAAUUGAACUGAAAUUACACUAAACCAUUUAAAAUGGUUUAGAAACUGAACCAAACUGUUUUGUCACAUAAGAAACUGGUUUUAAACUAGUUUAUAAUAGUGCACCAGUUUAAACCAGUUCAUAAAAAUAAAACUGGUUUUUAAAAAAAUCAGUUUAAACUGAUUUAUAGGUUAAAA
Molecule: long non-coding RNA, 1335 nt
Organism: Arachis ipaensis
Lineage: Eukaryota; Viridiplantae; Streptophyta; Magnoliopsida; Fabales; Fabaceae
Source: RefSeq, a predicted model, not a curated record